Molecule: ribosomal RNA, 253 nt
Filed under: uncultured bacterium
Lineage: Bacteria
Description: partial 16S ribosomal RNA
Rfam family: Bacterial small subunit ribosomal RNA
Source: RNAcentral
UACGUAGGGGGCUAGCGUUGUCCGGAAUCAUUGGGCGUAAAGAGCGCGUAGGCGGCCAGAUAAGUCCGGUGUGAAAGUCACAGGCUCAACCUGUGGAUGCCGCUGGAAACUGUCUGGCUAGAGUCCGGAAGGGGCGAGUGGAAUUCCUGGUGUAGCGGUGAAAUGCGCAGAUAUCAGGAGGAACACCAAUGGCGAAGGCAGCUCGCUGGGACGGUACUGACGCUGAGGCGCGAAAGCGUGGGGAGCAAACAGG